Molecule: ribosomal RNA, 247 nt
Filed under: uncultured Streptococcus sp.
Lineage: Bacteria; Bacillati; Bacillota; Bacilli; Lactobacillales; Streptococcaceae
Description: partial 16S ribosomal RNA
Rfam family: Bacterial small subunit ribosomal RNA
Source: RNAcentral
GGGCACUCUAGCAGACUGCCGGUAAUAACCGGAGGAAGUGGGAUGACGUCAAAUCAUCAUGCCCCUUAUGACCUGGGCUACACGCGUGCUACAAUGGUUGGUACAACGAGUUGCGAGUCGGUGACGGCGAGCUAAUCUCUUAAAGCCAAUCUCAGUUCGGAUUGUAGGCUGCAACUCGCCUACAUGAAGUCGGAAUCGCUAGUAAUCGCGGAUCAGCACGCCCGCGGUCGAAUACGUUCCGGGCCUU